GGGACGUACGGAUUAUUGGGCGUAAGAGCUCGUAGGCGGUUUGUCGCGUCUGCCGUGAAAGUCCGGGGCUCAACUCCGGAUCUGCGGUGGGUACGGGCAGACUAGAGUGAUGUAGGGGAGACUGGAAUUCCUGGUGUAGCGGUGAAAUGCGCAGAUAUCAGGAGGAACACCGAUGGCGAAGGCAGGUCUCUGGGCAUUAACUGACGCUGAGGAGCGAAAGCAUGGGGAGCGAACAGGAUUAGAUACCCUGGUAGUCCAUGCCGUAAACGUUGGGCACUAGGUGUGGGGGACAUUCCACGUUUUCCGCGCCGUAGCUAACGCAUUAAGUGCCCCGCCUGGGGAGUACGGCCGCAAGGCUAAAACUCAAAGGAAUUGACGGGGGCCCGCACAAGCGGCGGAGCAUGCGGAUUAAUUCGAUGCAACGCGAAGAACCUUACCAAGGCUUGACAUGAACCGGUAAUACCUGGAAACAGGUGCCCCGCUUGCGGUCGGUUCACAGGUGGUGCAUGGUUGUCGUCAGCUCGUGUCGUGAGAUGUUGGGUUAAGUCCCGCAACGAGCGCAACCCUCGUUCCAUGUUGCCAGCGCGUAAUGGCGGGGACUCAUGGGAGACUGCCGGGGUCAACUCGGAGGAAGGUGGGGACGACGUCAAAUCAUCAUGCCCCUUAUGUCUUGGGCUUCACGCAUGCUACAAUGGCCGGUACAAAGGGUUGCGAUACUGUGAGGUGGAGCUAAUCCCAAAAAGCCGGUCUCAGUUCGGAUUGGGGUCUGCAACUCGACCCCAUGAAGUCGGAGUCGCUAGUAAUCGCAGAUCAGCAACGCUGCGGUGAAUACGUUCCCGGGCCUUGUACACACCGCCCGUCAAGUCACGAAAGUUGGUAACACCCGAAGCCGGUGGCCUAACCCCUUGUGGGAGGGAGCUGUCGAAUGUGGGACUGGCGAUUGGGACUAAGUCGUAACAAGGUAACC
This 967-nucleotide ribosomal RNA is filed under the name uncultured bacterium. RNAcentral describes it as "bacterial SSU rRNA". It matches the Rfam family "Bacterial small subunit ribosomal RNA", at positions 538 to 1501 of the family's 1533-position model. The record is from RNAcentral.